Molecule: long non-coding RNA, 716 nt
Filed under: Gossypium barbadense (sea-island cotton)
Lineage: Eukaryota; Viridiplantae; Streptophyta; Magnoliopsida; Malvales; Malvaceae
Description: long non-coding RNA (GBAR_LNC022168)
Source: RNAcentral
AAAUUUAUAUGCCUUACCUCCAAAUGAAAGCAUCUUUGAUACAUCUGGAGUUCUUUUUUCUGAAAAAAAGGUACCACAACUCCUUUGUUAAACAACCCUCCAACUCUAGUUUGGACUCGGGUUUUUCGAGUUCGGGCUCAUUUUGCCAUCUACGGAUCCCCGGAUAGCUAACGGUUCAGAUAGCCUGGAGAAGUUUGCUAACAAUUCAAGUCUAAACAAGUAGGGAGAAAAAAAAAAGGAUGAAAAAAGAAACCCAUACUUGAAUUCAAUGUAUGCUAAAUCUUCUGACAAUCUGUACAAUCACACCAUGUCGUGCCCAUCCUGUUGUAUAAAGCCACUUGCAAGACAAUCAACAGAAAUCAACUCUUGCUACUAAUGCAUUCUCACCUACAAUUUUUCUUCAAAAACUAGUCACAUCAGCUCAUUUUAAGAUCUAUAUAUUGCUUCAUUAUGCUCCUUCAUGCUGGAUCUUACUAAAACACAGUUCCUCUUCUUCACAUGGCAUGUCUCCACUUCAAGUUUGUUUGGAUGUAAUUUAGUGAUAAACAGGGGUUUGAUGUCGUUCGGUCCAAACCGGCAUUACAUCCAUUUCAUACUCCGAAAACUAACAUAUCUUUAAUAGUAACAAGCUACAAAAUACUGGCAGAUGUCACAAGAAGCUGUACAUUCACUAAAUCUAGAGACACCAAAGAAGGAUGGCUACUAAUCAUGAUACU